Molecule: long non-coding RNA, 453 nt
Organism: Mastomys coucha (southern multimammate mouse)
Lineage: Eukaryota; Metazoa; Chordata; Mammalia; Rodentia; Muridae
Exons: 3
Source: RefSeq, a predicted model, not a curated record
CGGGUUGAAGUCCUUCAGUGUUCACAUGGAGAACUAGAAUAUGCAGGUGCAGGUGUGGUUUGCAUGGUUACAGUUAAGCCUCCACUAGUAAAAGCCACGAGGUCAUCGAACUCCAUUUGUGAGUUAACAGACAAAGCAAGAUGUACAUUUCCCAGUUGCUGUCAAAACAAUCAGUUGUCAUAAAUUACCACAACCAAUUGUCUUCCUGAGGUUGGCCCUUUGCCAAGGGGAAUGAGAAACCAAUAUCCUUAGGAUACUCAUCACACAGAAACGAUAGAAAUGAGACAAGAGUUGCUUUUGACGAAUGUGAGAAAACUAUGCAUUGGAGGAACAUGAGAAGGCUGCCAGCAGCCAGAAAGAUGCAGUGUGAACUUGCCUCAGAGAACCCCCAUGAGUCGGCUGGCCACACAGGCCCAAUGUGGACCCCCCUUCCUCCCUCAGAACACCUGACAG